This 748-nucleotide ribosomal RNA is filed under the name uncultured bacterium. Its description in RNAcentral is "bacterial SSU rRNA". It matches the Rfam family "Bacterial small subunit ribosomal RNA", at positions 134 to 883 of the family's 1533-position model. The record is from RNAcentral.
UACUCUUGGACAGCCUUCUGAAGGGAAGAUUAAUACAAGAUGGCAUCAUGAGUCCGCAUGUUCACAUGAUUAAAGGUAUUCCGGUAGACGAUGGGGAUGCGUUCCAUUAGAUAGUAGGCGGGGUAACGGCCCACCUAGUCUUCGAUGGAUAGGGGUUCUGAGAGGAAGGUCCCCCACAUUGGAACUGAGACACGGUCCAAACUCCUACGGGAGGCAGCAGUGAGGAAUAUUGGUCAAUGGGCGAGAGCCUGAACCAGCCAAGUAGCGUGAAGGAUGACUGCCCUAUGGGUUGUAAACUUCUUUUAUGAAGGAAUAAAGUCGGGUAUGAAUACCCGUUUGCAUGUACUUUAUGAAUAAGGAUCGGCUAACUCCGUGCCAGCAGCCGCGGUAAUACGGAGGAUCCGAGCGUUAUCCGGAUUUAUUGGGUUUAAAGGGAGCGUAGAUGGAUGUUUAAGUCAGUUGUGAAAGUUUGCGGCUCAACCGUAAAAUUGCAGUUGAUACUGGAUAUCUUGAGUGCAGUUGAGGCAGGCGGAAUUCGUGGUGUAGCGGUGAAAUGCUUAGAUAUCACGAAGAACUCCGAUUGCGAAGGCAGCCUGCUAAGCUGCAACUGACAUUGAGGCUCGAAAGUGUGGGUAUCAAACAGGAUUAGAUACCCUGGUAGUCCACACGGUAAACGAUGAAUACUCGCUGUUUGCGAUAUACUGCAAGCGGCCAAGCGAAAGCGUUAAGUAUUCCACCUGGGGAGUAC